RNAcentral lists this ribosomal RNA (494 nucleotides) under uncultured bacterium. RNAcentral describes it as "partial 16S ribosomal RNA". The record is from RNAcentral.
GUAGUUAGCCGGGGCUUCCUCCUUGGCUACCGUCACUUUCUUCGUCACCAAGGACAGAGGUUUACAACCCGAAAGCCUUCUUCCCUCACGCGGCGUUGCUGGGUCAGGCUUGCGCCCAUUGCCCAAUAUUCCCCACUGCUGCCUCCCGUAGGAGUCUGGACCGUGUCUCAGUUCCAGUGUGGCCGAUCAGCCUCUCAGCUCGGCUACCCAUCGUUGGCUUGGUGGGCCGUUACCUCACCAACUACCUAAUGGUACGCAAGCCCGUCUUACAGCACCGUAGUUUUUACCCCUGCACCAUGCGAUGCUGUGGUCUUAUGCGGUAUUACUCCCAGUUUCCCAGGGCUAUCCCCCUCUGUAAGGUUGGUUGCUUACGCGUUACUCACCCGUUCGCCACUGUCUGCAGAUUUAAUGCAAGCAUUAUAUCCGCUUCUCGUUCGACUUGCAUGUGUUAAGCACGCCGCCAGCGUUCGUCCUGAACCAAGAUCAAAUUCUGA